GUGUCAGCAGCCGCGGUAAGACGAACCGUGCGAACGUUGUUCGGAAUCACUGGGCUUAAAGGGCGCGUAGGUGGGCUGUCAAGUCCGGGGUGAAAGCCCCCCGCUCAACGGGGGAAUGGCCUUGGAUACUGGCGGUCUUGAGGAAGGUAGGGGCGUGUGGAACUUCCGGUGGAGCGGUGAAAUGCGUAGAUAUCGGAAGGAACGCCGGUGGCGAAAGCGACACGCUGGACCUUUUCUGACACUGAGGCGCGAAAGCCAGGGGAGCGAACGGGAUUAGAUACCCCCGUAGUCC
This 292-nucleotide ribosomal RNA is filed under the name uncultured bacterium. Its description in RNAcentral is "partial 16S ribosomal RNA". It matches the Rfam family "Bacterial small subunit ribosomal RNA", at positions 505 to 796 of the family's 1533-position model. The record is from RNAcentral.